Long non-coding RNA from Gallus gallus (chicken), 3189 nucleotides. The record is from Ensembl. Lineage: Eukaryota; Metazoa; Chordata; Aves; Galliformes; Phasianidae.
GUACAGAGGGGUUUCGGCAGAUUUCCUUUCCCUGGGGAAACCCGGGAGAGGAGAAUGACCCGGUAGCGGCUGCCAGCUCUCCCGAGAGAGGCUCACGUGGCGUGGGCGUUGCCGAGGCAGUGGCGCCCGCACGCAGGGAGGGCCAUGACGCGUCGCUGCCACCGGGCUCGGAGAGUAGGAGGAUCUGGAUUGUCAGGUGAGAAAGCCCUUCAGAGAAAAAAACCCUUCCUUAGAUGCAGCUGUGGCAUCUCUGCCACUGAACUUCCAUGUGCACAAGCUUGGAGCCAUGACCCUGGCAAGCCUGUAUCAGCAUCUGAACAUUCUCUCAGUGAAGACCCUUUUCUCAUACGCAACCUGAACCUCCCCUGAUGAAACUUCUGGCCAUUUCCUUGGGCUUGAUCAUCCAGCCAGAUUUUCACACAGCAGAGUAUGCCUGUCCAAGCCAUGGGCUGCCAACAUCUCCAAGACAAUAUUGUGUGAGACUAAAGUCAAAGGCCUUACUUAAGUCUAGACUGACUACAUCACAGAAUUUCCUCAUCGACUAGGUGACAUGGACAGUGGUAUCAAAUGCACCCUCAGCAAAUUUGCAGAGGACACCAAACUGAGUGGUGCAGAUGACAUGCUAGAGGAAAGAAAUGCCAUCCAGAGGGACCUUGACAGGCUUCAGAGUCUUCUAUAAGAGGAACACUUAAUUCCCACCAAGCUGAUCCAAAGCUGAACCGUGUGAAUGUCUUGGGAUUAAAGAGAAAGAGAGGACAACCAGUCAUGCUAAAGACUGAGACAUAGGAAAAGCAGAGGUCUGUAUGUUGGAGGAGAGGUAAGAGAAGAGUCCAUCUCUUUGUGCCCAUGUCUGCAUCUGCCAGGGGAAACUAAGGAAGAAUGGAAGUACCACUUCCUACCACGUACUCUGAUAUCACAGUACUUUACAGCCUGAAGUCUUUUAAAAUUUUGUGAUGGACUGUGUGGAAAUUUAUCCCACUGGGUAACCCAUCCGUGUCAUAUUCUAAUCCUUAUGUUUGUAACCUAUUUCUGCUACCUCCCAUCUGCCUUUUCUUUGAAGCUUAUAAUUUACAUUGUGUUUGUGCCACCACCCACAUUCUGCCUCACGACAGUGAACAGGAAAGAGUGCUUCCUGUAAAUACUGGGAGAUACCCAACCCUAAUGACCAUAAAGAGCACUGGGGCAAGCACAUUCAGAAGUACCAGCAGUUCUGUAUGUACCAUGUUGCUCUAGGCAUUCCUCCUGAUCACUAGAACAAGAAAAUGUAUAAUUUGGAAAGUUGAGGUUGUAUGUAUGUCAUUCUGAAAUUGUUUAUUUAUUUCCAUGGAAACUACAGCAGAUACAAAGAGCACAAUAACACUAUUUGAUCGAGCAAAUUCUCAGCUACAAAACACUGCUUUUCCAACAUAGUCACCACCAUUAGCUGUGCAUUUUCACCAGUGACGAACAAGAGCCUGCAUGCUGCUCUUAUAAAAAUCUGCUGAAAUGCACCACCCACCACCUCACUGUGCACACAUCUACAGUUUGUCUCCAUAAACAUUCAGCAAAUGUAGAUGGAUGACAGUGGAUGCCAUUUUCUCUUCACGAAGAAAUUCAGUUCCACACUUCUGCUUCAUAUGCACUUCUGCAUCAGAUGUUGUUUUGUCAGACUGCCCCUCUGCUGCCAUCUGUUGCACAGCAGCAAAAUACAAUAGAAUAUUGGUGGGAAGGUUCAACCUCUACUGUUACACAACCAACAUCCACUUCUGAUGUCAUGGAUCUACAUAAUAAAUUAGGAGGCAUUGUUUUCGGAGCAACUUUCCUAAUUACUGUUACAACAAGCAAUCUUUUGUAUCAUAUGCUAACUGCACACAUAAUCAGAUGUAUUUUCAAUAUAUCUAUGUGUCUAUGCAAGACAAGGAACAGUGGACUAAGCUUGUUCUCAACACUGCAAUUCAUAGGCAUAUAAAUUCUUUGAAACAUUACUAAAAUAAACAUGAAAUUACCUACUUGAGGAGCCUGGGCAUAGCAAAAAAACAUGGGUAAUGAUACAGAAAGUAGAGUUUAUCCUUAUCUACUAACUUAUUUCCAUCAGUGUGUAGUGUAUCUUUAUUACUUCAGAUAAGUGUCCUACUUCACGUUAGAGAAUCUCAUAUGCUUUUGUAAGUACUACAGUAUAAAUCAUACUAAUGCAUAUUCUACUUUGUUAGUAAGCUGUAACAUCUAAUGAAUGAAAAACAGUGUAAUUAACAAGCAAAGCGCUUUUCCACACAGGAACAGAGGUGGGUGGGCUUUCAAGUAGCAUGGGGGAAGAAUGCUGUGCCCAAUUUGCAUCCCAAGCACGGGGAGAGGCAUUGGAGGUUCACCCCACGGAGCAGCAGAUUUUCUUCUAAGAAAGUACAGAAGCUUCUCUAGCCAGGCUUCCUGGCCAGCUUCAUCUUAUUUUGUGUAACCAGGUCUCUCCUCUUUCACAGCUGCUGCCCUGGAGCAGCAGGGUGCUGUGUACCCCACACAGCCUGUGGUUGCAAGAAGCAUAAAACCCAUCUUCGCCCACACAAAGACAGAGUUAGACAGAGGGGGAUAUGUCCAGAUGCUUCUCCCAGGGAAACUAACAGAAAAGAAAGAAAGAGUCACCUCUGCUUGCCCUCCUGCGUUCUUUGUGUUGUCCUCCCACAAAUGCAUUUCCUGAGUUUCACCCACACCAGAAACAGCUUUCUCAUUCUCCUAACACAAUUCCAGUUUCUUACUAAAUCUGUCUUCUAUAUCCACAUUUUUUCAGGACAUUUACAACAGGCAGACACCUCCAUUCACAAAUCUCUACAAAACAGCAUUUUCAGGAGCUAGAACAGCCUAACAUUUGUAUUAUAUGUGUAUGACACAGAUUCUAGGAGACCUUUUUUCUCUUCGUUUUCUAAUAUUUCAAGCCAUCUUUUCUCCAUUUCAUUUCUAAUUCUGUCACAAUGUGUUGAUUGCAAAGUGCUUGCAGUAUGAACCUGCCCUUUUGCAUUUACAUGUGUUAAAAAUGCUGUGUAGAAACAAUAGCAUCCUUUGACUUCAUUGUGACUAAAAUUGAACCCUUAGUUUUUAAAAUAAAACUAUUUCCUCAUUUUAAGUGACUCAAGUGAUUUAAUUUUGUCCAGAUGUGGUGCAUGCAGUUUGGACUUACAAAUCCAAACAUUCAUUUUGAUCUAUUUCUGUAGGAUUGACAGG